Phymastichus coffea is the source of this 937-nucleotide long non-coding RNA. RefSeq lists it as uncharacterized. The transcript is spliced from 3 exons. The record is from RefSeq and is a predicted model, not a curated record. Lineage: Eukaryota; Metazoa; Arthropoda; Insecta; Hymenoptera; Eulophidae.
UGGCAAGCCGUCUGGGAUAUAACGAAUCAAAGUCAUAAGGCGGUGUACCCGACGGGAGUACCAGCACAGCAGGCGCCGCCAGUCAGAUCAAUGCAUCUCUCGAAAUCGAUGUACACUGUAUGCACUAUCGGUAAACGGAAAACUUGAAAAAUUAUCGAAUAUUAUUUUUCUAAUUUACGUCAUCAAACAUGAUCAACCUGUACCUGAUGCAACUCAAAAACUUUCUUGGGAAAUGUUCAUGAAUAUUGGAUUUCAUAUUAAUCUCAUUGAUAUGCGCGUUUUUUAUGAAUUAGUACAAAACUACCCGUAGAUAGCUCCCAUAAAGAUAUAAUAGGAUGUACGUAAUUUGGUAAGAAAAAAAAUAAAAAUGUUUAUAAAAGAAAAGUUAAAUUUAAAAUAAAUAAUAGUACCCUCGUCGACGAUAGAUUUCGUCCACCCACGCUAAUGCAUUAUGAAUGGACUACGUAUCGAAUCAAUUGUAGCGAGGGUGCAUUUGCAAUACUAAUGCGGGAAAGGAGAUAUACAUUUCGUAGAACGUGAGAAGUUUACGCGAGGAAUUUCCUUUUCCUACAUAUGUUUUAUUGUGCUGUUUGACACGACGAGCGCAAAAUGCAAUUUUUAGCACGUCUACUUUUCCAAGUUUGCGUAAUGUUGCAUUUUCGCACGCGGAGUGUCAAAAUACCACAACCUGAUAAUCAAGAUGGAAAGUGCACUCAACUUUCUCAUAUUAUAAUUUGCUUACCUUACACGCAACCUUCUGGAAGCUAUUUUCAAAUAAAUAUCUUACCCUUUGUUGUUAUCAAAUCUGCUUUAAAUGAAAUAAAGUAAAUAAACUACAACGAUAAUUUCUGUUCUUAAUGGAUUAUAAAUUUACAAAUUCUACGUAGACAGGUGAGUAGUUAAUUUUUCGAAUAAAAUAUAUUCGGAUAAAAGUACA